AAUGACUCUCGACAACGGAUAUCUCGGCUCUCGCAUCGAUGAAGAACGUAGCGAAAUGCGAUACUUGGUGUGAAUUGCAGAAUCCCGUGAACCAUCGAGUCUUUGAACGCAAGUUGCGCCCGAAGCCUUUUGGCCGAGGGCACGUUUGCCUGGGCGU
RNAcentral lists this ribosomal RNA (157 nucleotides) under Armeria splendens. RNAcentral describes it as "5.8S ribosomal RNA". It matches the Rfam family "5.8S ribosomal RNA". Rfam says of the family: 5.8S ribosomal RNA (5.8S rRNA) is a component of the large subunit of the eukaryotic ribosome. It is transcribed by RNA polymerase I as part of the 45S precursor that also contains 18S and 28S rRNA. The record is from RNAcentral. Lineage: Eukaryota; Viridiplantae; Streptophyta; Magnoliopsida; Caryophyllales; Plumbaginaceae.